RNAcentral lists this ribosomal RNA (442 nucleotides) under uncultured bacterium. RNAcentral describes it as "partial 16S ribosomal RNA". It matches the Rfam family "Bacterial small subunit ribosomal RNA", at positions 338 to 795 of the family's 1533-position model. The record is from RNAcentral.
CCUACGGGAGGCAGCAGUAGGGAAUCUUUCACAAUGGGCGAAAGCCUGAUGGAGCAACGCCGCGUGCAGGAUGAAGGCCUUCGGGUUGUAAACUGCUUUUAUAAGCGAGAAAUAUGAUGGUAACUUAUGAAUAAGGAUCGGCUAACUCCGUGCCAGCAGCCGCGGUCAUACGUAGGAUCCGCGCAUUAUCCGGAGUGACUGGGUGUAAAGAGUUGCGUAGGUGGCAUAAGAAGUAGCUAGUGAAAUCUGGUGGCUCAACCAUUCAGACUAUUAGCUAAACUGUUAAGCUCGAGACCGUUAGGGGUAACUGGAAUUUCUAGUGUAGGAGUGAAAUCCGUAGAUAUUAGAAGGAACACCAAUAGCGUAGGCAGGUUGCUGGGACGGUUCUGACACUAAGGCACGAAAGCGUAGGGAGCAAACGGGAUUAGAUACCCCGGUAGUC